UUUUAGAUUUUUAAAAAUGAUUUAAAUUUUAUUAGUUUUAGUAUUAAUUAUGAAAUAAUUUUAAGAUUUAUAGUUUAUUAGUACCGUAAGAAAAUUAAAUUAAAUUUUAAAAAGAAUAUAAAUUUUUAGUACCUUUUGUAUCAGGGUUAAUUAAAAUUUUUAAUUUAUUUUUAAUUUCUCAAAAUUUAUAGAGUUAAUUUUAUUAUUAAGUUAUUGUUUUAAAAAUAUUUAUAAAAUAAUUUUAGUUUAGAAAUUUAAUUCGUUAUAUUAUAUUUAGUUAUUUAAGAUUUAAAUUUAAUUUAAAAUUUUAAAAGUUUUAUUAAUUUUUUUUUAAUUAAAUUUUAAAUUUAAAUUAUUUUAGGGAUAAGCUUAAAAUUUUUAUAAAAUAAAUUUUAUUAAAUUGAAUAAGUCUUAGGAUUAGAAAUUUUUAUUUUAAGUUUGUAAAAAUUUAUUAUUUAUUUAAAUUUAAAUUUAUUAUAUAGAGAAUUUAUUUAUUUUUUUUAUUAAAUUUUAUAAAAUAAUUAUUUAUUUAUAGUAAUAAUGAUUAAAUUAGUAUAAUAGUUAUUUAUAAAUUAUGAAUUCGGCAAAUUUUAUUUUCAUCUGUUUAACAAAAACAUUGUAUUAAGUUUAAUUUAAUAUAGGAUCUGCUCAAUGAUUUAAUUAAAUAGCUGCAGUAUUUUAACUGUGCAAAGGUAGCAUAAUAAUUAGUCUUUUAAUUGGGGACUUGAAUGAAAGAUUUGAUGAGAAAUAAGCUUUAUUAUUUAUAUUAUUAAAAUUUUAUUUUUAAGUAAAAAAGCUUAAAUUUUUUUAAGGGACGAUAAGACCCUAUAAAACUUUAUAAAUUUAUUGUUUAAAAUUUUUGGUUUAAUAAAUAUUUAAAAUUUUUAAAUUUAUUUUAUUGGGGUGAUAAAAAAAAAUAUUUAACUUUUUUUAAAAUUUAACAUUAAUUAAUGAUUUUUUGAAUUAAAAUUUUUAAUUAAAGGAUAAAGUUACUUUAGGGAUAACAGCGUAAUUAAUUUUUUAAGUUCAAAUUUGAAAAUUAGUUUGCGACCUCGAUGUUGAAUUAAGGUUAAUCUUAGGUGCAAAAUUUUAAGUGUUAGGUCUGUUCGACCUUUAAAUUCUUACGUGAUUUGAGUU
This 1137-nucleotide ribosomal RNA is filed under the name Mollitrichosiphum nigrofasciatum. RNAcentral describes it as "partial 16S large subunit ribosomal RNA". The record is from RNAcentral. Lineage: Eukaryota; Metazoa; Arthropoda; Insecta; Hemiptera; Aphididae.